Non-coding RNA from Paramormyrops kingsleyae, 3072 nucleotides. Lineage: Eukaryota; Metazoa; Chordata; Actinopteri; Osteoglossiformes; Mormyridae. The record is from RefSeq and is a predicted model, not a curated record.
CCUCUUUAAUAUGAAUAUUUUCAAUACAUUCAAAUAUAGUUUUGACAUUUUUGUGAUUUCUAAAUCCAAAAAUGUCAGGUGGGUUAUUCUCAUGAACUGAUGCAAUUAGAUGUCCAAGCCCAAUGUAUGGGGAGGAAAAAAAUUAGUGUUUUAUGAUUGGUUCGCCUGUGAACACUUUUUCAUGGGCCGUGCAAGGAUUAGAGGCUACACUGAAAAUCUCAUUACUGUAACAUGCCAUGACUCUGUAACUCCAAUGAAUAAGUGUAACUUUUUAAAAUAAAAAAAUGUUUAUGAAAAUGACAUUUUAAUUAUACCACAAUACUGAGAAUUUUGUAUAAUAAAACUAAGUUUUGCAAAAUUUGUUUUCCUGAGGUCAUGUUUCUCAUUACCGUAACUUCAAAAAAACUGCAUUAAUACUAUCAAGUUUUUUUUUCCACCCAUAAUGCAUCACAAAGAAGGGAAGAUUAAAGAUGGACACAAGGUGAGACUUUCUCUCAUUAUGUCAAAAUUUUAAGGAUGUUUUACAGAUUGAAUCUCCAGGAGUUCACACUUUUUGAAAAACGUUAUUCAACAAGUGAAAUGUUUUGUUAAUGUAAGGUCAUCACAAUUGUCACCAGUAUUAGCAUCAUUAACUUAUUUCUCAUUACUGUGUAAUUUCUUUGUCGCAGUGCUGAAUUUUGCAAUUGUGCCAAAGAUUUCAUGCAUUCUUAACUCAUUUAUAAGCAACUAAAUAUGACCUGUAAUAAUGAUAAAUAACAUUAAUGGUACUCCAAAAAUACAGUGUAUAACUAAAGCAUUACUCACUGAGGAGAGGUUUUUUAUAUAACUAAAGCAUUACUCACUGAGGAGAGGUUUUUUUAUUGUAGCCUAUUUAUUUUUCUUUUGAGGUAUAUGCUACUCAGAAUGCAAAUGCUAAUUUAGGGACAGAGGUAAUUUUAUGUGUCUUUUAAAUAGUGCUUUGUUUGCAUGGUCCAUGUAAUAUUGUGUAUCCUUUUAAAGAUCAACAGAUAAGGAGAGAAUGAAAUCUUCAGUGAGUGCUAGGGUAAAGAAGCACAGAGAGAAAAUAUACAGUGACCCGGAGCUUCUAGAGGAGCACCGGAGAAAGGAGAGAGAAAGAUAUAAACAGCGAAAGGAAAGGGGUCUUCUGAAAACAGCUGCACAGCUGACUCCUACACAACAUGAAAUGCAAAAGAAAAGGUGGAGAGAAAAUACAGCAAAAUAUGCAGAACGGAAGAAAAUACAGCAAGCAUUACUCAAUCUUACCCCUCCAAUUGCCUUUGUAGAAAUUGACAUAUAACCACUGCAACAAAUACCCCCUACCUCAGCACCCAUAUAUUUUGAUACCUGAACAAUUGUGUUCAUGCCAUAUUCAUUCUUUUGGGAUACACAGAGAGAUGUUUACAGAUACACUCAUGUCUUUGGGUGCUUUUCCACUGCAUCCGGUACCCUACUUUCGGAAAAUUUUUCCACUGGCAUAAAAACUGGCACCGCUGCUGAAUGACAUCACAACGUGAUGCGGGGUAUUUUGUUCUGAAUUAGAAAAAUGUCUAUAGUAUAUUAUAGAUCUGGGUGACAUGCGAUAUAAAUGCCAACAUUGCAUGUUAUGCAAAUGCAUUUCUUACAUCACAAGAACCGCAAAAGCUAGAUUUACAUCAGGCCUUUUCAUACCUUCAUAUGGACAUUUUAGUCUGGGAGGGGGUUACAAUUUUUGUGAAAACAUUUUUACUUCUAGGGGAAAAAAAAACUUAGCAAGCUUUGCUAUUUCAAUGAUUAUUCCUUUUUAAGAUUAUCAAGCAUAUGUUUAAAAGUAUCAGUUGAAAGUUUACCUCCGCUGCUUUUGCAGUGCUUCAUGCGUUCUCCGAGAUAAUCAUUUUCAUCCUUUCUGUUUAAAUCACUCCUAGACAGGUUUGAUGGAAAUGUAUUUAUUUUGAACUCCUUUUUUGUUUUAUAAAUAUCACAAUAUUUAUUACAACAAAAUCACAUUGCAAUAUUUGAAAAUAUUCUAAUAUCACACAGCCCUAGUAUAUUAUCCAGAAUUUCUUGUCAUUCCAUCCUGAUCUUGUAUCUGUUCUUCUGACCAGAUUACAGUUAAAGCUUGGAUCCCCCCAUUUUUCCAUGCAUCCACUAUUAUUACUUGAAUAACUAUUAUAACCUUAACAAUUAUUACUUUAAUUGUUGUUUUCUGAGUUUGUGCUAUUUGCAUAACCAACAAGAAAAUGUUUGCAAGUCACACCCUGAAGUAUCGAAGUACCAAAAAAGUUUCCUAGUUUAGGGACUGGGAUUUUUGGUACUAGUACUUGAACGGAUGUUAAUGGAAAAGAGAAAGCACCAUACCAAAAGUGCGGCACCCGGUGCAGUGGAAAAGCUCCCUAUGUAAACCUGUACUGGUUUAUAUUAUAUUUUAUGUUAUGAAAUACCCUGCUGCAGUGCUCAUUACCAUUACUGUAUGAAUCUACUUUAUAAACUCAAGUUAUACAGCUUGUUGUCUAAAUCUGGGGUGGUAAAAUGGUUUUAUUAAAUUACCUUUUUUUUCUGUAAUAAUCAGAAGAAUUUUGUCAAAUCCAGGGCAAGAGUUACGGUAAUAAGAAAAAAAAGUAACAAAAAUUGAACAAGAUGUAUAUCUUAUCAUGCAAAUUUAUUAUUGGGGGUCACAUGCAAUUAAAUUGGAGGAUUUAACUUUAGUUUUGUGUUUUAUGUCAUCUUAAAACUGUUACAGUAAUGAGAUGUAAUAAAUGGUUCAAAAAUAAUUCAGACCAACAAAUGUUGUAUACAAAAACAAGCUCCAUAUUUCAUUAUAACAUUUUAAAAAGUUCAUGAGAAGAACUCAAAAAUUUUGAUUUUAAAAAUGUAUGUGUAAACUCUAUCAAGGACAUAACUAUUUGUACAUAUCCAAGCGGAUGCCUGUUUAAAUUGAAAUGAGCUUGAGAAAUCAGGUGGCACAUCUGCAGUUAAUAUUGCUACUUUAAGUUUUUAAUCCUAUAAAGCAAGUUGUAUCAUAUUUGAUACUUGGUAUUCUUAGAUUAUUAAAUUAAAUUAUUAUUAAAAAAUAAUAAUAAAAGCAGUUGUAUAGCA